RNAcentral lists this ribosomal RNA (397 nucleotides) under uncultured bacterium. RNAcentral describes it as "partial 16S ribosomal RNA". It matches the Rfam family "Bacterial small subunit ribosomal RNA", at positions 361 to 775 of the family's 1533-position model. The record is from RNAcentral.
AUAUUGGACAAUGGGCGCAAGCCUGAUCCAGCCAUGCCGCGUGAGUGAUGAAGGCCUUAGGGUUGUAAAGCUCUUGCACCGAUGAAGAUAAUGACGGUAGUCGGAUAAGAAGCCCCGGCCAACUUCGUGCCAGCAGCCGCGGUAAUACGAAGGGUGCUAGCGUUGUUCGGAUUUACGGGGCGUAAAGCGCACGUAGGCGGAUUGGUCAGUUAGGAGGGAAAUGCCGAAGCUAAAACUCGGAAUUGCCUUUAAAAAUGCCAGGCUCGAAGUCGGAAGAGGGAAGUGGAACCCCUAGUGGAGGGGGUGAAAUCGGAGAUAAUAAGAAGAAAACCAAGGGCGAAGGGGGCUUAAUGGACCGGAAAGGGAGGUGGGGGUCGAAAACGUGGGGAGCAAACAG